ACACUGCUGAGGAGUUCCACAAUAGGACGAAACGGCCGUUCAGUGC
Schistosoma rodhaini is the source of this 46-nucleotide non-coding RNA. The record is from Rfam. NCBI's taxonomy places the organism in Eukaryota, Metazoa, Platyhelminthes, Trematoda, Strigeidida, Schistosomatidae.